Molecule: long non-coding RNA, 480 nt
Organism: Melanotaenia boesemani (Boeseman's rainbowfish)
Lineage: Eukaryota; Metazoa; Chordata; Actinopteri; Atheriniformes; Melanotaeniidae
Exons: 3
Source: RefSeq, a predicted model, not a curated record
GGUAGUCCGGAGGUCAUUAAGACCAACGGCAGGCCAUCAUUCAAAUGUCCACCACCUUCCUAGGUCAGCAGGUGCUCACCCCUGCAGUUCGGCUUCGGUCGUUGCUUUCUUCAGGCCCUGGAGAUGAGAGUAUAGGGGAAGAGUACUUUAUCGUCGGGGCGCCGAAAGAAAAAACGGGGUAGAUUGUGGCAGUAUGAGGUGAGGAAGUGCAGUAUCAACCAAUCAGCGGAAGGGGGCGACGUAUUUAAGCAGGCGAGGAGCCAGUCUUGGACAGGGUUCGUCUGGUUGGCAGAUCGCCUGACUUCUGGCUGAUGUGGAGAUUGUUGCUGCGCAUAGAAUUGGCUAUCACCUUGAGACUGCGGUGGGAAACCUGUGUGUUGUGCUGCCUCUCGUGCUGGAACGGCUUCUCUGCGUGACGAGCGCUGGUCAUCCGGGGGAAUUUAUCUGACGGCAUUUUUUUUACGACACAGCCACCUUCUA